GCCAGGCGUGGUGGCUCACGCCUGUAAUCCCAGCACUUUAGGAGGCUGAGUUGGGUGGAUCGCCUGAGGUCAGGAGUUCGAGACCAGCCUGGCCAACAUGGUGAAACCCCAUCUCUA
Molecule: unclassified non-coding RNA, 117 nt
Organism: Pongo abelii (Sumatran orangutan)
Lineage: Eukaryota; Metazoa; Chordata; Mammalia; Primates; Hominidae
Rfam family: Metazoan signal recognition particle RNA
About the family: The signal recognition particle (SRP) is a universally conserved ribonucleoprotein. It is involved in the co-translational targeting of proteins to membranes. The eukaryotic SRP consists of a 300-nucleotide 7S RNA and six proteins: SRPs 72, 68, 54, 19, 14, and 9.
Source: Ensembl